RNAcentral lists this long non-coding RNA (416 nucleotides) under Hordeum vulgare. Its description in RNAcentral is "long non-coding RNA (HVUL_LNC015889)". The record is from RNAcentral. Lineage: Eukaryota; Viridiplantae; Streptophyta; Magnoliopsida; Poales; Poaceae.
CUUCCAACAUCGAAAACAUCAUAGAAGAUGCAUAUAAAAUUCGUUUUCGAUGAACUCGAGCUUGUCGUGAAGAUGACCAUAAGCUCUGAAACUCACAAAGAGAAACACCAAACAAGAACCAAGAAAUAUGAUGCAAGGGUGCAAAUGGUUUGAGCUCUCAACGAACGAUAUGAUCAAGCUACUCACUUGAGAGCCCCCUUGACAAUACGAGAAUCUAUCCUAAAGUAGAAGAACCUAUCAAGGGCAAACCUAUACCUUGCACCUAGUACUCUUAAGCUAGACGACGAUGAUCUUGGCUUCCUCAAGAUGGACCACUUUUCUUGAUUGCGUUGGUUUGAUGAAGACUAGUUGAUUGCUCCACCAUACUCACUAUGGGUGAGCCACUCUUCAACACAUCUUCAUAAGUCUGUUGCCAC